RNAcentral lists this ribosomal RNA (354 nucleotides) under uncultured bacterium. Its description in RNAcentral is "bacterial SSU rRNA". It matches the Rfam family "Bacterial small subunit ribosomal RNA", at positions 28 to 381 of the family's 1533-position model. The record is from RNAcentral.
GAUGAACGCUAGCGGCAGGCCUAACACAUGCAAGUCGAGGGGCAGCACGUCUUCGGAUGGUGGCGACCGGCGCACGGGUGCGUAACGCGUAUGCAACCUACCUCUUACAGUGGGAUAGCCCAGAGAAAUUUGGAUUAAUACCGCAUAGUAUACAGAUUCAGCAUUGGGACUGUAUUAAACAUUUAUGGGUAAGAGAUGGGCAUGCGUUCUAUUAGUUAGUUGGAGUGGUAACGGCACCCCAAGACAGCGAUAGAUAGGGCCCGUCGAGAGGGGGAGUCCCCACCACUGGUACUGAGACACGGACCAGACUCCUACGGGAGGCAGCAGUGAGGAAUAUUGGACAAUGGGCGGAGA